AUUGAACGCUGGCGGCAGGCUUAACACAUGCAAGUCGAGCGGGGUGAUGGUGCUUGCACUAUCACUUAGCGGCGGACGGGUGAGUAAUGCUUAGGAAUCUGCCUAUUAGUGGGGGACAACAUCUCGAAAGGGAUGCUAAUACCGCAUACGUCCUACGGGAGAAAGCAGGGGAUCACUUGUGACCUUGCGCUAAUAGAUGAGCCUAAGUCGGAUUAGCUAGUUGGUGGGGUAAAGGCCUACCAAGGCGACGAUCUGUAGCGGGUCUGAGAGGAUGAUCCGCCCCACUGGGACUGAGACACGGCCCAGACUCCUACGGGAGGCAGCAGUGGAGAAUAUUGGACAAUGGGGGGAACCCUGAUCCAGCCAUGCCGCGUGUGUGAAGAAGGCCUUAUGGUUGUAAAGCACUUUAAGCGAGGAGGAGGCUCUUUUGGUUAAUACCCAUGAUGAGUGGACGUUACUCGCAGAAUAAGCACCGGCUAACUCUGUGCCAGCCGCCGCCGUAA
This 503-nucleotide ribosomal RNA is filed under the name uncultured bacterium. Its description in RNAcentral is "partial 16S ribosomal RNA". It matches the Rfam family "Bacterial small subunit ribosomal RNA", at positions 30 to 523 of the family's 1533-position model. The record is from RNAcentral.